RNAcentral lists this ribosomal RNA (501 nucleotides) under uncultured bacterium. RNAcentral describes it as "partial 16S ribosomal RNA". It matches the Rfam family "Bacterial small subunit ribosomal RNA", at positions 30 to 523 of the family's 1533-position model. The record is from RNAcentral.
AUUGAACGCUGGCGGCAGGCUUAACACAUGCAAGUCGAGCGGAGAUGAGGUGCUUGCACCUUAUCUUAGCGGCGGACGGGUGAGUAAUGCUUAGGAAUCUGCCUAUUAGUGGGGGACAACAUUCCGAAAGGAAUGCUAAUACCGCAUACGUCCUACGGGAGAAAGCAGGGGAUCUUCGGACCUUGCGCUAAUAGAUGAGCCUAAGUCGGAUUAGCUAGUUGGUGGGGUAAAGGCCUACCAAGGCGACGAUCUGUAGCGGGUCUGAGAGGAUGAUCCGCCACACUGGGACUGAGACACGGCCCAGACUCCUACGGGAGGCAGCAGUGGGGAAUAUUGGACAAUGGGGGAAACCCUGAUCUAGCCAUGCCGCGAGUGUGAAGAAGGCCUUAUGGUUGUAAAGCACUUUAAGCGAGGAGGAGGCUACUGAGACUAAUACUCUUGGAUAGUGGACGUUACUCGCAGAAUAAGCACCGGCUAACUCUGUGCCAGCCGCCGCAGUAA